CAUGCAAGUCGAGGGGCAGCGGGGCGUAGCAAUACGCUGCCGGCGACCGGCGCACGGGUGCGUAACGCGUAUGCGACCCACCCAACGGCGGGGGAUAGCCCGGCGAAAGCCGGAUUAAAACCGCAUAAGACAGAGAGGCUGCAUGGCUUUUCUGUGAAAGAGAGAUCACCGUUGGACGGGCAUGCGUUCCAUUAGGCAGUUGGCAGGGUAACGGCCUACCAAACCGACGAUGGAUAGGGGUUCCGAGAGGAAGGUCCCCCACACCGGUACUGAGACACGGACCGGACUCCUACGGGAGGCAGCAGUGAGGAAUAUUGGUCAAUGGGCGAGAGCCUGAACCAGCCAAGUCGCGUGAAGGAAGACGGAUCUAUGGUUCGUAAACUUCUUUUGGAGGGGAGUAAAGUGCGCUACGUGUAGCGUAUUGCAAGUACCCUCAGAAUAAGCAUCGGCUAACUCCGUGCCAGCAGCCGCGGUAAUACGGAGGAUGCGAGCGUUAUCCGGAUUUAUUGGGUUUAAAGGGUGCGUAGGUGGGAAGAUAAGUCAGCGGUGAAAGUUUUGCGCUUAACGUAAAAAUUGCCGUUGAAACUGUCAUUCUUGAGUACGGACAAGGCAGGCGGAAUGCGUGGUGUAGCGGUGAAAUGCAUAGAUAUCACGCAGAACUCCGAUUGCGAAGGCAGCUUGCCGGGCCGGGACUGACACUGAGGCACGAAAGCGUGGGGAUCAAACAGGAUUGGAUACCCUGGUAGUCCACGCCGUAAACGAUGAUUACUGGGAGUUUGCGAUAUAAAGUAGGCUCUGAAGCGAAAGCGUUAAGUAAUCCACCUGGGGAGUACGCCGGCAACGGUGAAACUCAAAGGAAUUGACGGGGGCCCGCACAAGCGGAGGAACAUGUGGUUUAAUUCGAUGAUACGCGAGGAACCUUACCCGGGUUUGAACGCAGAGGGACAGAGGUGGAAACACCUUUUCCGGCAACGGUCGUCUGCGAGGUGCUGCAUGGUUGUCGUCAGCUCGUGCCGUGAGGUGUCGGCUUAAGUGCCAUAACGAGCGCAACCCCUGUUGCCAAUUACCAUCGAGUAAAGUCGGGGACUUUGGCAAGACUGCCGGCGUAAGCUGUGAGGAAGGCGGGGAUGACGUCAAAUCAGCACGGCCCUUACAUCCGGGGCGACACACGUGUUACAAUGGGGCAGACAGCGAGCAGCGCGUGCGCGAGCACAAGCGAAUCUCGAAACUGCCUCCCAGUUCGGAUCGGAGUCUGCAACUCGACUCCGUGAAGCCGGAUUCGCUAGUAAUCGCGCAUCAGCCAUGGCGCGGUGAAUACGUACUCGGGCCUUGUACACACCGCCCGUCAAGCCAUGGAAGCCGGGGGUACCUGAAGUCCGUAACCGUAA
RNAcentral lists this ribosomal RNA (1388 nucleotides) under Candidatus Vestibaculum illigatum. RNAcentral describes it as "16S ribosomal RNA". It matches the Rfam family "Bacterial small subunit ribosomal RNA". The record is from RNAcentral. Lineage: Bacteria; Pseudomonadati; Bacteroidota; Bacteroidia; Bacteroidales; Porphyromonadaceae.